Scatophagus argus is the source of this 541-nucleotide long non-coding RNA. RefSeq lists it as uncharacterized. The record is from RefSeq and is a predicted model, not a curated record. NCBI's taxonomy places the organism in Eukaryota, Metazoa, Chordata, Actinopteri, Scatophagidae. The transcript has 3 exons.
GCCCUUAGCCAAACUACUGGAAGGCCAGUGGCUGAGGGAAUCCCAGGGGGCAGCUCAUCUGAGCCAGUCACCCCCAGGACACAAGUGUCUUCAUAACAUGUAAGAAGUCCACACCUCUAUAACGUUUUUUAUGAAGCCUCUUUUAGAGACAGGAUGUUUGUUCUUGAAUCCAGUAGACUCUGAGGGACGUCUCCACCUGUUGGAGCCUCAUGUAGCCCAACUCCAGCCUGUUGUAUGGAACUCAACACACCAAAACUCAUAACCAAUAGUGGUAUAAAGUUCACUGAAUAAAAUGGUUGUCUUCAAAGGAUAAUGAAGAUGAAGACACUGUGUCUGCUGUCACAGAAAGGCCUACAGAGAGCGUAACUGGACAGCAUGAAGAGGGUCCAUCAAACUCUGCAGCACCAAUGGACACAUUACCAGUUAUACAGAAUCCAUCUCCUUAAACUGACUGAAAAAACAGAUCAGGAAAUGGUGCACUUGGACCGCCAGAUCCAAAAGGCAGAUCUGGAAAUCGAGAUACUUAAAUACAAGUUAGAGG